This 134-nucleotide ribosomal RNA is filed under the name uncultured bacterium. Its description in RNAcentral is "partial 16S ribosomal RNA". It matches the Rfam family "Bacterial small subunit ribosomal RNA", at positions 355 to 493 of the family's 1533-position model. The record is from RNAcentral.
UGGGGAAUAUUGCACAAUGGGCGCAAGCCUGAUGCAGCGACGCCGCGUGCGGGAUGUAGGCCUGGUUGUAACCGCUUUGUUCAAGGGCAAGGCACGGCUUCGGGCCGUGUUGAGUGGAUUGUUCGAAUAAAGCA